RNAcentral lists this ribosomal RNA (32 nucleotides) under Frankliniella intonsa. RNAcentral describes it as "partial 5.8S ribosomal RNA". The record is from RNAcentral. Lineage: Eukaryota; Metazoa; Arthropoda; Insecta; Thysanoptera; Thripidae.
UUGACAAUUCGAACGCACAUUGCGGCCCUAGG